GGAAAAACAUUUUCCAGGAUCCAGAGCUCCUUUUCCCACUUGUAGGCAGGUCCCAGCCAUACAGAAGGGAUGGGGAUUCCAGGGAAAUCAGGUGCUGCUUUCAGUCCCCUCCUGAGACGUUUUCCAAGAUGUGGAGACCCCAGCAAUGAACAGCUUUGCUGGAAUUCCUCUGGAAAUGAGGAGCUUUCCCAGCAUCCAGCAGGUGCCAGCUCAGGAUAAACCCAGAGGAUGCUGAAUAAAGGAUCAUUUCUGUGGUGGUUAAAGGUGA
Cyanistes caeruleus (blue tit) is the source of this 268-nucleotide long non-coding RNA. RefSeq lists it as uncharacterized. NCBI's taxonomy places the organism in Eukaryota, Metazoa, Chordata, Aves, Passeriformes, Paridae. The record is from RefSeq and is a predicted model, not a curated record.